Molecule: ribosomal RNA, 493 nt
Filed under: uncultured bacterium
Lineage: Bacteria
Description: partial 16S ribosomal RNA
Rfam family: Bacterial small subunit ribosomal RNA
Source: RNAcentral
AUUGAACGCUGGCGGCAUGCCUUACACAUGCAAGUCGAACGGUAACAGGUUAAGCUGACGAGUGGCGAACGGGUGAGUAAUGUAUCGGAACGUGCCCAGUCGUGGGGGAUAACUGCUCGAAAGAGCAGCUAAUACCGCAUACGACCUGAGGGUGAAAGCGGGGGAUCGCAAGACCUCGCGCGAUUGGAGCGGCCGAUAUCAGAUUAGGUAGUUGGUGAGGUAAAGGCUCACCAAGCCGACGAUCUGUAGCUGGUCUGAGAGGACGACCAGCCACAGUGGGACUGAGACACGGCCCAGGCUCCUACGGGAGGCAGCAGUGGGGAAGUUUGGACAAUGGGCGCAAGCCUGAUCCAGCCAUGCCGCGUGCGGGAAGAAGGCCUUCGGGUUGUAAACCGCUUUUGUCAGGGAAGAAAAGGUUCUGGCUAAUACCUGGGACUCAUGACGGUACCUGAAGAAUAAGCACCGGCUAACUACGUGCCAGCCGCCGCCGUAA